Molecule: long non-coding RNA, 186 nt
Filed under: Cairina moschata (Muscovy duck)
Lineage: Eukaryota; Metazoa; Chordata; Aves; Anseriformes; Anatidae
Description: domestica (muscovy Duck (domestic type)) lncRNA (ENSCMMG00000005736.1)
Source: RNAcentral
AUGAGCCUUUCUCAGUGUACUGGACGCUGUACAAACACAGCACAGCUUCAUCAAAAGAUCACAGAAAAGCAUUUUAAACAUCUACUUCUCAGAGUUGUCGUUCUGAAGUGCCUUAAGAAUCCAAGCCCGUGAGAUUUCAGGCCGUGACUCUAUCUCACAAAUGCAGACAACUUGGGGCUACAUUUA